GUUGAACGCUGGCGGCGUGCCUAAUACAUGCAAGUCGAGCGAACGGACGAGAAUCUUGCUUCUCUUAUGUUAGCGGCGGACGGGUGAUGAACACGUGGAUAACCUACCUAUAAGACUGGGAUAACGUCAGGAAACCUGAGCUAAUACCGGAUAAUAGUGUGAACCGCAUGGUUCAAAAGUGAAAAACCGUCUUGCUGUCACUUAUAGAUUGAUCGGCGCUGCAUUAGCUAGUUGGUAAGGUAACGGCUUACCAAGGCAACGAUGCAUAGCCGACCUGAGAGGGUGAUCGGCCACACUGGAACUGAGACACGGUCCAGACUCCUACGGGAGGCAGCAGUAGGGAAUAUUCCGCAAUGGGCGAAAGCCUGACGGAGCAACGCCGCGUGAGUGAUGAAGGUCUUCGGAUUGUAAAACUCUGUUAUUAGGGAAGAACAUAUGUGUAAGAAUCCGUGCACAUUUUGACGGUACCUACACAGAAAGCCACGGCUAACUACGUG
This 497-nucleotide ribosomal RNA is filed under the name uncultured bacterium. RNAcentral describes it as "partial 16S ribosomal RNA". It matches the Rfam family "Bacterial small subunit ribosomal RNA", at positions 28 to 507 of the family's 1533-position model. The record is from RNAcentral.